GACGAACGCUGGCGGCGUGCUUAACACAUGCCAGUCGAACGGAAAGGUCCUGCUUUUGUGGGGUGCUCGAGUGGCGAACGGGUGAGUAACACGUGAGUAACCUGCCCUUGACUUUGGGAUAACUUCAGGAAACUGGGGCUAAUACCGGAUAGGAGCUCCUGCUGCAUGGUGGGGGUUGGAAAGUUUCGGCGGUUGGGGAUGGACUCGCGGCUUAUCAGCUUGUUGGUGGGGUAGUGGCUUACCAAGGCUUUGACGGGUAGCCGGCCUGAGAGGGUGACCGGCCACAUUGGGACUGAGAUACGGCCCAGACUCCUACGGGAGGCAGCAGUGGGGAAUAUUGCACAAUGGGCGGAAGCCUGAUGCAGCAACGCCGCGUGCGGGAUGACGGCCUUCGGGUUGUAAACCGCUUUCGCCUGUGACGAAGCGUGAGUGACGGUAAUGGGUAAAGAAGCACCGGCUAACUACGUG
Molecule: ribosomal RNA, 468 nt
Filed under: uncultured bacterium
Lineage: Bacteria
Description: partial 16S ribosomal RNA
Rfam family: Bacterial small subunit ribosomal RNA
Source: RNAcentral